CAACUUAAAGAUGCAGCCAACUACAUUAUUACCUUUAAUGCAGAUUCUGUGGCCACGUUAUGGUUGCCCGUAAAUGAUGCAUCCGAAUUAAGGCCCGCCUCUUCGACGAGUGAUCCCAGCUCCCCUUCCCCAGACUGCCUUGAGCUGCCUGAUGCCUGCUACGAACCAGUUUUGAUCGACACAUCCGACGAGGUACCUUUGGAAUGCAUAGAUGAAUUGGAGCAGAAUGAAGAGAAUGCUGACAGAAAAUUGCAAGCAACAGAAGAAGAUACUUGAAGAGCGAGGUGGAAAAGACACUGUUGAAGAAAAGAAUCUGACACCUUUUCAGCGAUGAUGAGAUGUCGCCAUCAUCACUGGAGUGGUUGUCAACUUGGAAGUCAUGGUGAGAAGCUAACACACUUGUCAAGUCACUGACGCUGCGGCUGACAUGUGGGACACAGCUGCAGCCUCCCCAGGGAAUAUUGUUUUCCUUCGCUCUCGGAGCAUACCUUGCAAAGACAAAUUGAGCAUACAAAGUUUCGAUUUGGACUGCUUUCUAAUAUAUUGGAACCUCUCAAGGUAAAUGUUAAUAUUUCACAAGGUGACAUAUUGUGAGUUUUCCUGGUUCAUAUAUCUCUUUGCCUGGUUGACUUAUAGAGUUAAGGUACACGAAAUUCUCUACAUUUCAUUUGGUGGUAAGCAGCCAAUGUGUGAAGCAUGUAUAUCCAAAUCUUUCGCUAUGCCUCUGUUUUCUUUUCAUCUUCGUCCAUUUGCGCUGUUGUUAGUUUACGUCCAGUCAUUCCAAAUAUUGAUUUCCAUUCUACAGAUCAAUCUCAUGAAGCCAGAGGAAUGCCAUGCAGUUCUGCUGCUAGAUGUGAUGCAAAUCAUGUAGUGUCUCAUGUAUGACUGUUCGUGCUGUGAUAUCUUGGGUGCAACCACACCGCCUCUUUCCGUUGGUUCGUUGCUUUAUUGCUUGGCAACACACAGCUUGGUAUUCAUGCUUGCAUGUCCUUCCACUAUAUAGAAGCAUGCCAUUGAAUAUCAGCUGACUGGCAACUUGAUUCACGCUGCCAGCUUUAAAGCCAGAGUAGCUGAGCUAAUUACUGCAUCCUAGUCAAUCAGCAGCAAUAUUCAUGUUGUUGUGUGAAACAUGGGCAGCACUUUGGAAGCUCUGCGGUAUGAUGGUCAUUAAGCACAGCAGGCUGCAAACCAGUCGCCGUCACCCCUUUGGCCCGCAGAGAAAGCUUUGGGGUAAGGCCAGUGUUCAAUGUUGGUGUAUGGCCACUUGUUCAAAAAUAUGAGAAAUCAUUUAGCUAAAGAAGCAGGUCGUCUACCUAGAAAGUGUAAAGAAACACGAUUUGCUGACGAGCUACGUGAACAUCCGAUUUUUUAAAGGCCCUUGUGAGGCAUGAUGGCAAAGCUAGCGCUGCACUUGAACACUUCUGUUCUUGAUUCCAAUCAUUACAGUAAAAGGACAGUAGGCCUGUCUUUUCUGUCCUUUUUGAUAACAAUCAAUACUGUUGCAUGGUUCAUCAAAACCAUAUUUAUACUCCAUCUCAGAAGUACCUUCCAGCACUGUGGAAGCUGCAGGCCUUCUUAGCCAACGGGAAAUGCGAAAACCCCUCAAGAUGUAUUCAUCCAUGUCGUGUUGUCUGCUCGUCGUCUGCUGGGCGUCUCUCUGGCAUCGGCUCGCCUGCUUUUUCGGUACUUGCUCUCCGCAGUUGACAUAGGUUGUUUUCACGCCUGAAAAUGUAAAUAAAUAAAUAAGGCUAAUAACUCCCCCCGCCCCACCCCCAUCUACACGUAGUGUGGCUAUUUUAACGUUGCGUAUAUUACAGCAUUUGCGAAGUGUGUAUUAUUAUAUCUUCCAACUCAAGUCGCCAAGGCUCAGUUAUGGUACUGCCCAAAGUAGCUUGAUACUGACGAUCUGACAGCUCAAUAUUCAGUUCCCGUUGCAGUUUGUGGGUACCUCAAUCUGUAACGUACUGUGCGUGCCCUCAGUUGAGCAAUAAGUAAAUACACAAAACAUGCUUUUUAACGUGAAAUUGUGCUGCAGUGUUUAUUGCAUAACUGCUAAAGAAAAUGUUUUGGGAUAGUUUUUUCAACUUUUAUAAGUCAUUGUCAUUCAAGGUGUUCAUCAUACUGUUUUCCUCGUCAGAAGUUGUGUCCUCCCCUAAAUUGACUACGACUGCUUGUUGGUUGUCUACCACAUUGUCAAUAAUGUGGUCCAUUUGCUUCAUCUUCUCUUCCUCAUCCUCAACCACUUGUCUUCCUCAUCCUCAACCACAGACUUACUUGUGCUAUGGCCUCUGCAACAUGUUUCUUUAGCUCUUCCAUUUAUAAUGCCCGGUUCGCGGAAGCCACAAAAUGCUUCAUGUCGCUCCACAUCAGCUCUAUGGGAUUGAGCUGGCAGUGAUACGGUGGUAGCCUUAAAAUGAGGUGUCCGGCUGUAGCAGCAAUACAGUCAAUACGAUAUGUGUUGCCAUCUACUUUCACAGUCUGAAUAAGCUUCAUCAGCUCUGCCUUUACCAUAUCGUCACUUCACGGAACCCCCUUUUCUGAAAGCCACGCCUGCAUUUCCCUUUUGAGGUUACUCAUGCGGGGGAC
Long non-coding RNA from Rhipicephalus sanguineus (brown dog tick), 2586 nucleotides. RefSeq lists it as uncharacterized. NCBI's taxonomy places the organism in Eukaryota, Metazoa, Arthropoda, Arachnida, Ixodida, Ixodidae. The transcript is spliced from 3 exons. The record is from RefSeq and is a predicted model, not a curated record.